CUUGAAUUCGUGGAGGGACUUGGGUUGGCGAUAUUCCGCUAUUUCCUUCCUCGUUUAGUUCCCGAUUGGAGACCAAGAAGCUUGGGUCCUUCUUGAAAGCCUUCUUGAAUUGCAUGGCUGAGAGUGUCUUCUCCUCGGACUUGCCUCUCUCCACGGGUACCAUGCAUGCCUUACUCCUGUCAAGUAUGCUUAGGGAGUUUGUAGCGGGCAGCGGGAAGGCAUGGGCGUGGUCGAAGAAUUCCAUGCCAAGGAGUCAUCCAUGGGCACAAUAGAGAAAUCGAGCUUUCCACUCCACGUUCCAAGUGUUAAGUGCACGCCUUGUGCAGUCCCCGCAAUUGGCUUGGCGGGUGAGUUUACCGCCUUCAUAAUGCCUCCUUCCUUGGUGGCAUUGAGGCCUAA
This 399-nucleotide long non-coding RNA is filed under the name Nicotiana benthamiana. RNAcentral describes it as "long non-coding RNA (NBEN_LNC030100)". The record is from RNAcentral. Lineage: Eukaryota; Viridiplantae; Streptophyta; Magnoliopsida; Solanales; Solanaceae.